Molecule: ribosomal RNA, 360 nt
Filed under: uncultured bacterium
Lineage: Bacteria
Description: bacterial SSU rRNA
Rfam family: Bacterial small subunit ribosomal RNA
Source: RNAcentral
GUGUCAGCCGCCGCGGUAAUACGUAGGGUGCGAGCGUUAAUCGGAAUUACUGGGCGUAAUGCGUGCGCAGGCGGCGAUGUAAGACAGAUGUGAAAUCCCCGGGCUCAACCUGGGAACUGCGUUUGUGACUGCAUCACUCGAGUACGGCAGAGGGAGGUGGACUUCCGCGUGUAGCAGUGACAUGCGUAGAGAUGCGGAGGAACACCGAUGGCGAAGGCAGCCUCCUGGGCCAGUACUGACGCUCAUGCACGAAAGCGUGGGGAGCAAACAGGAUUAGAUACCCUGGUAGUCCACGCCCUAAACGAUGUCAACUAGUUGUUCGGUGAGGAGACUCAUGGAGUAACGCAGCUAACACGUGAA